This 427-nucleotide ribosomal RNA is filed under the name uncultured bacterium. RNAcentral describes it as "partial 16S ribosomal RNA". It matches the Rfam family "Bacterial small subunit ribosomal RNA", at positions 355 to 774 of the family's 1533-position model. The record is from RNAcentral.
UGGGGCAUAUUGGACAAUGGGCGAAAGCCUGAUCCAGCCAUGCUGCGUGUGUGAAGAAGGUCUUCGGAUUGUACAGCACUUUAAGUUGGGAGGAAGGGCAUUAACCUAAUACGUUAGUGUUUUGACGUUACCGACAGAAUAAGCACCGGCUAACUCUGUGCCCGCAGCCGCGGUAAUACAGAGGGUGCAAGCGUUAAUAGGAAUUACUGGGCGUAAAGCGCGCGUAGGUGUUUUGUUAAGUUGGAUGUGAAAUCCCCGGGCUCAACCUGGGAACUGCAGUCAAAACUGACUGACUAGAGUAUGGUAGGGGGUGGUGGAAUUUCCUGUGUAGCGGUGAAAUGCGUAGAUAUAGGAAGGAACACCAGUGGAGAAGGCGACCACCUGGACUAAUACUGACACUGAGGUGCGAAAGCGUGGGGAGCAAACA